RNAcentral lists this long non-coding RNA (300 nucleotides) under Elaeis guineensis (African oil palm). Its description in RNAcentral is "long non-coding RNA (EGUI_LNC045100)". Lineage: Eukaryota; Viridiplantae; Streptophyta; Magnoliopsida; Arecales; Arecaceae. The record is from RNAcentral.
AGACUACAUAUAGGCUCAAAGAUAGCUCGAUCAACCCAUAUGCACUUAUAGGUAGGUUCUUAACCAAUUAUUUCUCCAAACAACUUCUAGUAUUUAAUUUAGCCUCAGAUUUUAUUUCAGUAGGCGAUGGGCCUCCACUAAAAGUUUCAGUUAGAUCAAACCAUUAACAUGAGCCUACUUAGUGAUUCUACCUAAUGAGUGAUCAGGUUCGAAGAUGUCUCGAUCAACAUAACCAUCAUCAGAUAGUUCAACAGAGUUAUCAUAUGAUGAAUGAUAAUUCCAUCAUUCAGAAAGAACACC